Coffea arabica (coffee) is the source of this 605-nucleotide non-coding RNA. Lineage: Eukaryota; Viridiplantae; Streptophyta; Magnoliopsida; Gentianales; Rubiaceae. The record is from RefSeq and is a predicted model, not a curated record.
UAGCUCAGUUCCAUCCUUGGAAAAUAUAUGGUGCAAGAAUAGUUAGUUUGAACCAAAUUAAACUGGUCUACAAAACCUUUUCAAAAAAAUAAAUAAACAAAUGAAAAGAUAAAGAACAAGAAGACAAAUGAUCUCAUUGUAUGAAAAAAUGAAACCUAAGAACAAAAGCAAGAAAUCUUACUUUCAGGGUCUAUCCUAAAUGAGAAAUGGUAUUGCUAAAAGGAUUAAAAUCUAGAAAACGAAGACUAAAGUUACUUAGAAUGCCUAAACAUGUGUAAAUGGAGAAAAGCCAUAGCAUGUUGGCCUUGUUCUCAGUUGCUUUAGAUUUUGUAAAAUCUGAUUAUAGAAACUUUUUCUGUUAUUAAAAAAAUCCUAUAAUCAAAAUAUAAAAGCAACAGACAACAUUUUAAAAGCUGAUUAUCUAUAAUUAGAAUCUAUAACUAGUUAAAAUAAUAGCACUUGCUGAUCAUCAUGGCUAAACAGGUCUUUAGGGAAAAAUAUAAUAGUACUUGCUGAUCUAUCCUAGACAAAUUUUGUUCUAAUGAAACUCAUCUCGAUAUCGAUCCAGCAGGGAGAUAAACAACCUUUCUAGCUGGCGUUUCCUG